AACGAACGCUGGCGGCAGGCCUAACACAUGCAAGUCGAACGCCCUAGCAAUAGGGAGUGGCAGACGGGUGAGUAACGCGUGGGAAUAUCCCCCUCAGUACGGAAUAGCCCAGGGAAACUUGGAGUAAUACCGUAUACGUCCGUGAGGAGAAAGAUUUAUCGCUGAGGGAUUAGCCCGCGUCGGAUUAGCUAGUUGGUGAGGCAACGGCUCACCAAGGCGACGAUCCGUAGCUGGUUUGAGAGAAUGACCAGCCACACUGGGACUGAGACACGGCCCAGACUCCUACGGGAGGCAGCAGUGGGGAAUCUUGGACAAUGGGCGCAAGCCUGAUCCAGCCAUGCCGCGCGAGUGACGAAGGCCUUAGGGUUGUAAAGCUCUUUUGCCGGGGACGAUAAUGACGGUACCCGGAGAAUAAGUCCCGGCUAGCUUCGUGCCAGCCGCCGCCGUAA
Molecule: ribosomal RNA, 449 nt
Filed under: uncultured bacterium
Lineage: Bacteria
Description: partial 16S ribosomal RNA
Rfam family: Bacterial small subunit ribosomal RNA
Source: RNAcentral